RNAcentral lists this long non-coding RNA (452 nucleotides) under Actinia tenebrosa (Australian red waratah sea anemone). RNAcentral describes it as "uncharacterized LOC116291061, transcript variant X1". The record is from RNAcentral. Lineage: Eukaryota; Metazoa; Cnidaria; Anthozoa; Actiniaria; Actiniidae.
CAUUGUGAGAAAAGAGAAAACAGAAAAGUCUAAUAUUUUUGACCUCUAAAUCUUUAGCAGAAAAAACACACGAUGCAGUAGUUCGUUAACACCAGUUAUGUUGUCAUCGAGUCUAUCCCUGUUGACGUUUCUGACAUGCGCAGUAACGUCCUACGGUCACAGUCCUUACAGAGACUCAUGCAAUAAGAUGGCGGUUUUCGACCAAUUCAAAAAAGAUCAAGCACUAAGUGGUCACGUGAUAGCAAACCAUGAAGUCACUUCUUACCCUGACUGCGCAUUCCAAUGUCUUCAAACUAAAGGUUGCAAGUCGUACAAUUUUCAAGACGAAGGCACUCCACUUCACGUGUGUGAGCUUAGUAACCACACGAGGACCUCUGCGUCAUCUGAUUAUGUCAUGAAGCCAGGCUUUACGUACUAUGACACCGAAAAGUUUGUAAGUGCUAUACUUAUAU